Molecule: long non-coding RNA, 2392 nt
Organism: Nicotiana tabacum (common tobacco)
Lineage: Eukaryota; Viridiplantae; Streptophyta; Magnoliopsida; Solanales; Solanaceae
Source: RefSeq, a predicted model, not a curated record
UAUUAAGUUUCUCUGUCAAACCUCACGCCCAAAAUCAAAGAGAAACCUCACGCCCAAAAUCAAAGAAAUCGAUCUCUCUGUCCAGCUCUUUUCAUGCCGGUGACAGUCCCACGCCGGCGACAGUCGAUCCCUCCGCCAACCUCCGUUAAACCCACCAGAGUCUCAGCAAAAACACCCCAUAAACUUUAUUUCCUCCACAAUAAAAAAUCACCUCCUUCAAUCAAUUCGAACCAUCGAAUAAUUUUAGGGUUUUUUUCUCGAUUAAUUAUCUCGGUUAACACUUCAAGUUCUCACAGAUCCCUAAUUCUAGGUUUUUGCUCAACUCUCAUAAAUUUUCUGAUUUACUUUGCAUUCUCUUCUUCUACUCCUUUUGUAAUUUCACAACAGUUGAGCCCUAAUUCGCAGAUUCCAUUCCUCACUGAAGAAGAAAUUGCCGCUGGUAGCUGUGGAAUAAAUAUCACUAUAAGUUUUUAAAAGUAUUUUUAACAAAAUUUGGGAUAAAUAUCACUGGUUGUGUGUAUGAAUCAAGCUUUCAGUUUGAGUGUUCCGCUGGUAGUUGCAUUGAAAUACGCAUGUUGAUACUUGCUUUUGAGUUGAUCAAUAUAUCAACUAUAGCAAACAUGAAUUAAUCUUAUUGUAUUGGUAGAAGUGUCAGCAUUGUAUAUUUAUUUGUGGUCAAUUAUUUUGAACUAUGACUCGACAAGUUUCCAGUUGAUGAAACGUAGAUAGGACGGCCUUACUCUAGGGUUACUAGUACUCUAGGAUCUUAAACAUACUCGUUGUUGCUUAGUAUUAUAAGUAUAACAUGUUAUGGCUGACUACAAUAUAUUGAUGAUGUAGAAAUUUUUUCCAUCAUCAGUGUUGAUCUACUUGUAGCUGAAGUUGUAUAUAAUCUUUCAUGAUUUGAUUAGUGUAAAAUUUAUACUAAAUCUAUAAAAAGAAAUUACACGUAAAAGAGAAUUAAUAAUGAAAGUAUCAUUUGGAGCUAACCUUUCAUGAUCUGGUCACCUCAUAUGCAAAUUCUCAAGGUUUGUUUCUAUAGAAAACACUUUGAAGUAACUGAGUAUAUUUCAGGAAAACCAACAUCCUAACUAUUUUGUUAAAAAACAUCAGAAGAAAAAGACAUUUUAAUUUCCUAAGGUGGCAUUUGAUGGGUUUGGGGUUUGAUUUAUGUUUGGUUUUGGGAGAAUCAGUUUUGACUUUGGCUUUUGAAAUAAUUUGCAUAUUUUGGAUUUGUUUGUAUAAAAAUUGGUUUGCACACCUAUUGUGUGUGAAAAUAUCACUAAACCUAAACGGAUUAAUAUGGGUGAAUAAGGUAAUUUAAAGCCAACUAGACUGAAUUAUUUAAAAAAAUUGUUUAAUCUUGUAACUAUGUUGCCAAGAAGAAUGAAUAGUCAUUUUAGUUCCAACAAGAAUUAAACUCCACUGUCUUGCUUCAUGUACUCUAUUUUUUCCACUUUUUUGGUUGUUCAAUUUUAGCGUGUUCUUUUUUGUCGAACUUUGCUGUAACAUGUUCUUCAAAUACGUGAAGAUCAAAGAAAAUGUUAUAGAUUCUUACUGUGAAAAUCAAGUAAAUGAUGAGACAUAUGUCACCAAAUUCAAGUAAGAACUUAGGUAAAUAAAAUGGAGACAAGGGCGGGCAAAUAGAGAACAAUUGGUUUUUGUUACUGCAAAGACUAUGUGUGUCAUCAUGAAUUAUUUGAAUUGAAAAUUUUUUAGGUAUCAGUUCUAACAUGAGUAAAUUAUUUAUGCAUUACGUAAGUGUAUUAACCGUCAAACAAAUGUAUAUUAAAGUAGAGUAAGGAAUCAGCUCAUUGGUCCAACUGAAGCAGUUGUAAAAAAGUUGGGUAGCUCAUCGGCACAUUGGCAAGGAAUGGGACCUUAUGUCCGCUAAAUGUAUUUAAUUGGAGGAAACUAGACACAAAAGAUCAUAUGUGGAACUAUAUCAAGGCAAAAUCUGACAUCCUAGAGGAUGCGAAAAUAUAGGUUUUUCAUUCAAUUCAGGUAGCUUGGAGAAAGUAUAAGAAUCAAUUGAAGAAAGAUCACUUUGAAGCCUAUCUGAAUGACGAGCUUCGAAUGGAGAAUUGACCUGUAGAUGUUUCGGAAUCUCACUUUAAGGAUUUUCUUAACUAUUGGAACUCCGAUUCCCACAAGGUGAAGAAAAUAUAAAAGGGAAGACGAAGACAGGGACGAUCUAGACGUUACUUAAGAAGAUUCUUGAAUUAUUGUUGGAAUUUAGAUGUUUUAGGAAUAUUGGUAUGGAAUAUUUUGAAGCUUAUGUUAACUCUUGAAUUGUAAAACUUAUGCACUUGGGUUUGAACAUUUUGCUUUGAUGGAUAUUACUAUAUAGCUUGUUGGACAAUUAUUUUGGAUUGCAAAAGUUUAUGAGUAG